UACGGAGGGUGCGAGCGUUGUCCGGAAUCAUUGGGCGUAAAGGGCGCGUAGGUGGCCCGGUCAGCGUGCGGUGAAAGCUCGGGGCUCAACCCCGAGUCGGCCGUGCGAACUGCUGGGCUCGAGCACUGUAGAGGCAGGCGGAAUUCCGGGUGUAGCGGUGGAAUGCGUAGAGAUCCGGAAGAACAUCGGUGGCGAAGGCGCUCUGCUGGACCAUAACUGACACUCAGGGACGAAAGCUAGGGGAGCGAAUGGG
Molecule: ribosomal RNA, 253 nt
Filed under: uncultured bacterium
Lineage: Bacteria
Description: partial 16S ribosomal RNA
Rfam family: Bacterial small subunit ribosomal RNA
Source: RNAcentral